RNAcentral lists this ribosomal RNA (440 nucleotides) under uncultured bacterium. RNAcentral's name for it is "partial 16S ribosomal RNA". It matches the Rfam family "Bacterial small subunit ribosomal RNA", at positions 338 to 795 of the family's 1533-position model. The record is from RNAcentral.
CCUACGGGUGGCAGCAGUGGGGAAUAUUGCACAAUGGGCGAAACCCUGCUGCAGCGACGCCGCGUGAGUGAAGAAGUCUUUCGGUAUGUAAAGCUCUGUCAGCAGGGAAGAAAAUGACGUUACCUGUCACCGCAGCAACGGCUAACACCGUGACAGCAGCCGCGGUCAUACGUCGGGGGCAAACGUUAUCCGGUUUUACUGGGGGUAAAGGGAGCGUAGAUGGCUGGGCAAGUAUCGAGGGAAAGGCGGGGGGUCAACCCCGGGACUGCUCUGGAAACUGGCAGGUUGGAGUGCAGGAGAGGGAAGGAGAAGUCCUAGUGUAGCGGUGAAAUGCGUAGAGAUUAGGAGGAACACCAGUGGCGAAGGCGGCUUACUGGACUGUAACUGACGUUGAGGCUCGAAAGCGUGGGGAGCAAACAGGAUUAGAUACCCUAGUAGUC